Molecule: ribosomal RNA, 837 nt
Filed under: uncultured bacterium
Lineage: Bacteria
Description: bacterial SSU rRNA
Rfam family: Bacterial small subunit ribosomal RNA
Source: RNAcentral
GUGCUUGCAUCAUGAUUUACAUUUCCGUGAGUGGCGAACUGGUGAGUAACACGUGGGAAACCUGCCCGGAAGCGGGGGAUAACACCUGGAAACAGAUGCUAAUACCGCAUAACAACUUGGACCGCAUGGUCCGAGCUUGAAAGAUGGCUUCGGCUAUCACUUCUGGAUGGUCCCGCGGCGUAUUAGCUAGAUGGUGAGGUAACGGCUCACCAUGGCAAUGAUACGUAGCCGACCUGAGAGGGUAAUCGGCCACAUUGGGACUGAGACACGGCCCAAACUCCUACGGGAGGCAGCAGUAGGGAAUCUUCCACAAUGGACGAAAGUCUGAUGGAGCAACGCCGCGUGAGUGAAGAAGGGUUUCGGCUCGUAAAACUCUGUUGUUAAAGAAGAACAUAUCUGAGAGUAACUGUUCAGGUAUUGACGGUAUUUAACCAGAAAGCCACGGCUAACUACGUGCCAGCAGCCGCGGUAAUACGUAGGUGGCAAGCGUUGUCCGGAUUUAUUGGGCGUAAAGCGAGCGCAGGCGGUUUUUUAAGUCUGAUGUGAAAGCCUUCGGCUCAACCGAAGAAGUGCAUCGGAAACUGGGAAACUUGAGUGCAGAAGAGGACAGUGGAACUCCAUGUGUAGCGGUGAAAUGCGUAGAUAUAUGGAAGAACACCAGUGGCGAAGGCGGCUGUCUGGUCUGUAACUGACGCUGAGGCUCGAAAGUAUGGGUAGCAAACAGGAUUAGAUACCCUGGUAGUCCAUACCGUAAACGAUGAAUGCUAAGUGUUGGAGGGUUUCCGCCCUUCAGUGCUGCAGCUAACGCAUUAAGCAUUCCGCCUGGGGAGUACGGCC